UAGGGAAUCUUCGGCAAUGGGGGGAACCCUGACCGAGCAACGCCGCGUGAGUGAAGAAGGUUUUCGGAUCGUAAAGCUCUGUUGUUAAGGAAGAACGAGUGUGAGAAUGGAAAGUUCAUACUGUGACGGUACUUAACCAGAAAGGGACGGCUAACUACGUGCCAGCAGCCGCGGUAAUACGUAGGUCCCGAGCGUUGUCCGGAUUUAUUGGGCGUAAAGCGGGCGCAGGCGGUUAGAUAAGUCUGAAGUUAAAGGCAGUGGCUCAACCAUUGUAGGCUUUGGAAACUGUUUAACUUGAGUGCAGAAGGGGGGAGUGGAAUUCCAUGUGUGGCGGUGAAAUGCGUAGAUAUAUGGAGGAACACCGGUGGCGAAAGCGGCUCUCUGGUCUGUAACUGACGCUGAGGCUCGAAAGCGUGGGGAGCGAACAGG
This 429-nucleotide ribosomal RNA is filed under the name Bacteroidota bacterium. RNAcentral describes it as "Bacteroidetes bacterium partial 16S ribosomal RNA". It matches the Rfam family "Bacterial small subunit ribosomal RNA", at positions 355 to 776 of the family's 1533-position model. The record is from RNAcentral. Lineage: Bacteria; Pseudomonadati; Bacteroidota.